UAGCAUAGUGGUUAGUGCCCAGCCCCGGAUAGGUUGAGACGCGGGUUCGAAUCCCGC
This 57-nucleotide transfer RNA is filed under the name Nippostrongylus brasiliensis. It matches the Rfam family "tRNA", at positions 8 to 63 of the family's 71-position model. From Rfam's summary of the family: Transfer RNA (tRNA) molecules are approximately 80 nucleotides in length. Their secondary structure includes four short double-helical elements and three loops (D, anti-codon, and T loops). Lineage: Eukaryota; Metazoa; Nematoda; Chromadorea; Rhabditida; Heligmosomidae. The record is from Rfam by way of RNAcentral.